Molecule: ribosomal RNA, 685 nt
Filed under: Pseudomonas aeruginosa
Lineage: Bacteria; Pseudomonadati; Pseudomonadota; Gammaproteobacteria; Pseudomonadales; Pseudomonadaceae
Description: bacterial SSU rRNA
Rfam family: Bacterial small subunit ribosomal RNA
Source: RNAcentral
CGAGCGGAUGAAGGGAGCUUGCUCCUGGAUUCAGCGGCGGACGGGUGAGUAAUGCCUAGGAAUCUGCCUGGUAGUGGGGGAUAACGUCCGGAAACGGGCGCUAAUACCGCAUACGUCCUGAGGGAGAAAGUGGGGGAUCUUCGGACCUCACGCUAUCAGAUGAGCCUAGGUCGGAUUAGCUAGUUGGUGGGGUAAAGGCCUACCAAGGCGACGAUCCGUAACUGGUCUGAGAGGAUGAUCAGUCACACUGGAACUGAGACACGGUCCAGACUCCUACGGGAGGCAGCAGUGGGGAAUAUUGGACAAUGGGCGAAAGCCUGAUCCAGCCAUGCCGCGUGUGUGAAGAAGGUCUUCGGAUUGUAAAGCACUUUAAGUUGGGAGGAAGGGCAGUAAGUUAAUACCUUGCUGUUUUGACGUUACCAACAGAAUAAGCACCGGCUAACUUCGUGCCAGCAGCCGCGGUAAUACGAAGGGUGCAAGCGUUAAUCGGAAUUACUGGGCGUAAAGCGCGCGUAGGUGGUUCAGCAAGUUGGAUGUGAAAUCCCCGGGCUCAACCUGGGAACUGCAUCCAAAACUACUGAGCUAGAGUACGGUAGAGGGUGGUGGAAUUUCCUGUGUAGCGGUGAAAUGCGUAGAUAUAGGAAGGAACACCAGUGGCGAAGGCGACCACCUGGACUGAUACUGA